CGCCGUCGCCUCCGCCAUCUCCUCCGCGACGACGGAAAGCGGGGAAGCCCGGCAGCGGAAGCAGAAGUCCCUGGGCGGAAGCUUUACUUUUCGCUUUUAGCCGACGCCGGUUUCCUUUGCGGGGUCGGGGGGUUGCGGCUGGUUGCGACGACGAGAGGAACCGCGAAAAGACGCUGAGUUGGCCGAGCACGAGUGACGGUGCGAGCAACGGGCCGUUUGCCGCUGUCGACCGGUGAUGCAGUAUCCUCGGCUUGGUGUCACGAUCGGUUUGUUGCUGUGCACGUUGGCUUUGCUAUGCGGUACGACUGGUGCGGCUGUCGAAUACUUGUGGUGCACAUUAUUGGAGACAGUCGCCCCAAGACGUCGCCGUGAAGAGUUGACCGAGGAAUUCGUGGACUCACUCAACGGAUAGCCUCUGCCGUCUUCAUCAUCGGGUGUCUGCUCCUGUUCGCUCUACACUCUGGUCGGGUCCACCCCAAUUAUGAAGAUGGUGGCGACAUCGUAUUUGUUGAGACGACUGGUCCAAGGAAGAGCCAGCCACGGAACAUCUUCUUUCUGGAGACGAGCGGACGAGGCAACCUGACCGGGAGGAUGUCCUGCGCGGUCGAGUCCGCGGCGUUGCACCACACGGAGUGGACAGUCAGCCUUCUGACCGCAGAAAACUCGGAGAAGCCGGAAAGCCGAAGCCCCUUUUUCGACCUGCUCAGAAGAAUACCCAACGUGAACAUCCGUAGCAUCAAG
This is an RNA transcript of Ixodes scapularis (black-legged tick), 741 nucleotides long. RefSeq lists it as uncharacterized. The record is from RefSeq and is a predicted model, not a curated record. The transcript is spliced from 3 exons. Lineage: Eukaryota; Metazoa; Arthropoda; Arachnida; Ixodida; Ixodidae.